This 449-nucleotide ribosomal RNA is filed under the name uncultured bacterium. Its description in RNAcentral is "partial 16S ribosomal RNA". It matches the Rfam family "Bacterial small subunit ribosomal RNA", at positions 354 to 796 of the family's 1533-position model. The record is from RNAcentral.
GUGGGGAAUAUUGGACAAUGGGCGAAAGCCUGAUCCAGCCAUGCCGCGUGUGUGAAGAAGGUCUUCGGAUUGUAAAGCACUUUAAGUUGGGAGGAAGGGCAGUAAGUUAAUACCUUGCUGUUUUGACGUUACCGACAGAAUAAGCACCGGCUAACUUCGUGCCAGCAGCCGCGGUAAUACGAAGGGUGCAAGCGUUAAUCGGAAUUACUGGGCGUAAAGCGCGCGUAGGUGGUUUUGUAAGUUGGAGGUGAAAUCCCCGGGCUCAACCUGGGAACUGCCUCCAAAACUGCAUGACUAGAGUACGGUAGAGGGUAGUGGAAUUUCCUGUGUAGCGGUGAAAUGCGUAGAUAUAGGAAGGAACACCAGUGGCGAAGGCGACUACCUGGACUGAUACUGACACUGAGGUGCGAAAGCGUGGGGAGCAAACAGGAUUAGAUACCGAGUAGUCC